Molecule: ribosomal RNA, 252 nt
Filed under: uncultured bacterium
Lineage: Bacteria
Description: partial 16S ribosomal RNA
Rfam family: Bacterial small subunit ribosomal RNA
Source: RNAcentral
UACGUAGGCAGCAAGCGUUGUUCGGAGUUACUGGGCGUAAAGGGUGUGUAGGCGGUUCUUUAAGUUUGGUGUGAAAUCUCCCGGCUCAACCGGGAGGGUGCGCCGAAUACUGAGGGACUAGAGUGCGGGAGAGGAAGUGGAAUUCCUGGUGUAGCGGUGAAAUGCGUAGAUAUCAGGAGGAACACCGGUGGUGUAGACGGCUUUCUGGACCGUAACUGACGCUGAGACACGAAAGCGUGGGUAGCAAACAGG